UAAAGAUGUCCGUCUCGGGGUCAACGGUCAUCCCUGAGCUGCACAAUCACAGAUUGUCCUCCAGGUCCGACUGAUGGCGCUCCACCUGGAAGCAAACAGGAAGUGGCUCUUAACGAGACACCGGUCCAACAGACCAUCGAUCUGGACCUUAAUCUCCAUCAGCUCCUUCUUUAUGCAGAGGACCUCCGCCAUCUUUACUGAAGUCAGAGAGAGAGAGAGAGAGAGAGAGAAAGAGCGAGACAGGGACAGAAACAGGGAGAGUGACAGAAAGAGAGAGAGAGAAAGCCCCGCCCACCUGUACACCUGUAACUCUACACAGGGAGCUUUGACACCCGGGAAUCAAACCCUCUGCCAUCCCGCUCAGGACGUUUCCUUUAGAGUUCGGGUCGGUUUGGUUUUUAACCUGUCGGUUUUUCCUAACGGCUGUAUUUUGUGCAUGAUGAUGGCG
Gasterosteus aculeatus aculeatus (three-spined stickleback) is the source of this 448-nucleotide long non-coding RNA. The record is from Ensembl. Lineage: Eukaryota; Metazoa; Chordata; Actinopteri; Perciformes; Gasterosteidae.